RNAcentral lists this ribosomal RNA (474 nucleotides) under uncultured bacterium. Its description in RNAcentral is "bacterial SSU rRNA". It matches the Rfam family "Bacterial small subunit ribosomal RNA", at positions 30 to 504 of the family's 1533-position model. The record is from RNAcentral.
UGAACGCUAGCGGGAGGCUUAACACAUGCAAGCCGAGGGGUAUAUAUUUUUCGGAAUAUAGAGACCGGCGAACGGGUGCGUAACGCGUAUGCAACUUACCUUUAUCAAUAGGAUAGCUUUCGGAAACGGAAAUUAAUACUGUAUAAUACUAUGAUAGGCAUCUAUUGUAGUUAAAAGAUUUAUUGGAUAGAGAUGGGCAUGCGUCAGAUUAGUUAGUUGGUAAGGUAACGGCUUACCAAGGCGAUGAUCUGUAGGGGUUCUGAGAGGAUUAUCCCCCACACUGGUACUGAGACACGGACCAGACUCCUACGGGAGGCAGCAGUGAGGAAUAUUGGACAAUGGGUGAGAGCCUGAUCCAGCCAUCCCGCGUGUAGGAAGACGGCCUUAUGGGUUGUAAACUACUUUUAUACAGGAAUAAAUGCAGGUACGUGUACUUGUUUGAAUGUACUGUAAGAAUAAGCACCGGCUAACUCC